This 253-nucleotide ribosomal RNA is filed under the name uncultured bacterium. Its description in RNAcentral is "partial 16S ribosomal RNA". It matches the Rfam family "Bacterial small subunit ribosomal RNA", at positions 524 to 776 of the family's 1533-position model. The record is from RNAcentral.
UACGAAGGGGGCUAGCGUUGCUCGGAAUCACUGGGCGUAAAGCGCACGUAGGCGGCUCUCUAAGUCAGGGGUGAAAUCCUGGAGCUCAACUCCAGAACUGCCUUUGAUACUGGAGAGCUUGAGUCCGGGAGAGGUGAGUGGAACUCCGAGUGUAGAGGUGAAAUUCGUAGAUAUUCGGAAGAACGCCAGUGGCGAAGGCGGCUCACUGGCCCGGUACUGACGCUGAUGUGCGAAAGCGUGGGGAGCAAACAGG